GAGGAGACUCGCGAGCUUCGUUUCGAGCGCCCCUUUUCCACAAUGGCGGCCAAGGGCUCAAGCCAAGCAGGAACAGUUAUAUCAGCUCAUUCACUAAGAGGAUACCUACUGCUGUACAAUUGGUGAAGCUGUAUUCGACUACUGAUACACAAAACUCAUUGGAAUUUCCUAGAGAUGAAAUUGAUGUUGUUUCAGUGUUGAAAGCUUCCCUGCCAAAUACUGUAGAAGCUGAUGAUGAAUUUGAUGAAUUGGGUCCUUCAGUUUCUGGAGGCAGUGACUCAAACUCUGUUUUGGCAAAGAACCCUAAGGAUAAAGAUUAUCUAGGAUAUUUUUGAAAAAAGGGUCUCAACAGGCCCCAAAAGCUUGUCCGUCGCAAGCUUCUCCCAUGAUGCCGAUUGUUACCAGGGUCCCUUCUGAGCAGGAGAAGUGCCAGCUCAAUACUCACUCCAACUUGGAAGGCCAAAGUCAUGCUUUAAGAAGCAAGACUUAAUCACACGAACCAUCUGUAUCCAUUGCAAUUGAUAAUAUACCCCGGAACAUCAGCCCUCUGGAACUGGAGGAGGCAAUUUCAAUCUAUGGAGAGGUCCAAGGUAUCUCUCUGAGAUCAGGAGAUGGUGGAGUCUGUAGCUGUCAUGUCAAAUUUAAGAGUGUGAGAGCAAAGAAGAAGGCACUUGCAGCUAGAUGUAUUACUGUGAAGAAUUCUCAGCUUCUGAUCCGCAAUCUUCACAACAGCUCGGAUUACAUUUCGCGCAUCUCGAUUAGGAUAGCUAAUAUUAGCAAGAAGAUGACUGAGGUGGCUAUACACUCAAUAUGCAUGUCAUAUGGAGACGUGAUUGCCCUUGCAAGGAGCAAAGAGGGUGCAAUUGAUGUGAUGUUCAGAGUUUUAGGAUGCUCAUGUUUCACAGCGCAUAGUGAAGUAUUUGAACGAUGUUGUGAUUGAUGAGCGCCGAUGGUCAGCUAAGCUGCUAACAGAGCUUGAUCAAGCCAACACAGCAAGUUCCUCUGAUUCUCAUCAGCCAGUUGGUUCACAAAUUAACAGUCACUUGGAAAGCUUGAGGA
Long non-coding RNA from Asparagus officinalis (garden asparagus), 1059 nucleotides. RefSeq lists it as uncharacterized. The transcript has 5 exons. The record is from RefSeq and is a predicted model, not a curated record. Lineage: Eukaryota; Viridiplantae; Streptophyta; Magnoliopsida; Asparagales; Asparagaceae.